RNAcentral lists this small RNA (147 nucleotides) under Pongo abelii (Sumatran orangutan). RNAcentral's name for it is "Metazoan signal recognition particle RNA (ENSPPYG00000039991.1)". Lineage: Eukaryota; Metazoa; Chordata; Mammalia; Primates; Hominidae. The record is from Rfam by way of RNAcentral.
GCUGGGCAUGGUGGUGCAUGCCUGUAAUCCCAGCUACUCGGGAGGCUGAGGUGGGAGAAUCACUUGAACCCAGGAGGCAGAGGUUGCAGUGAGCUGAGAUAGCACCACUGCACUCCCGCCUGGUGACAUAGUGAGACUCCGUCUCGA